RNAcentral lists this non-coding RNA (28 nucleotides) under Homo sapiens (human). RNAcentral also lists the same sequence under 3 other names. Lineage: Eukaryota; Metazoa; Chordata; Mammalia; Primates; Hominidae. The record is from RNAcentral.
UGGUGAGCAAGGGCACCCUGGUGCAGAC